This 660-nucleotide ribosomal RNA is filed under the name uncultured Pseudomonadota bacterium. RNAcentral's name for it is "bacterial SSU rRNA". It matches the Rfam family "Bacterial small subunit ribosomal RNA", at positions 68 to 717 of the family's 1533-position model. The record is from RNAcentral. Lineage: Bacteria; Pseudomonadati; Pseudomonadota.
GGUAACAGGAAGCAGCUUGCUGCUUUGCUGACGAGUGGCGGACGGGUGAGUAAUGUCUGGGAAACUGCCUGAUGGAGGGGGAUAACUACUGGAAACGGUAGCUAAUACCGCAUAACGUCGCAAGACCAAAGAGGGGGACCUUCGGGCCCCUUGCCAUCGGAUGUGCCCAGAUGGGAUUAGCUAGUAGGUGGGGUAACGGCUCACCUAGGCGACGAUCCCUAGCUGGUCUGAGAGGAUGACCAGCCACACUGGAACUGAGACACGGUCCAGACUCCUACGGGAGGCAGCAGUGGGGAAUAUUGCACAAUGGGCGCAAGCCUGAUGCAGCCAUGCCGCGUGUAUGAAGAGGGCCUUCGGGUUGUAAAGUACUUUCAGCGGGGAGGAAGGUGUUGAGGUUAAUAACCUCAGCAAUUGACGUUACCCGCAGAAGAAGCACCGGCUAACUCCGUGCCAGCAGCCGCGGUAAUACGGAGGGUGCAAGCGUUAAUCGGAAUUACUGGGCGUAAAGCGCACGCAGGCGGUCUGUCAAGUCGGAUGUGAAAUCCCCGGGCUCAACCUGGGAACUGCAUUCGAAACUGGCAGGCUAGAGUCUUGUAGAGGGGGGUAGAAUUCCAGGUGUAGCGGUGAAAUGCGUAGAGAUCUGGAGGAAUACCGGUGGCG